Molecule: ribosomal RNA, 731 nt
Filed under: uncultured bacterium
Lineage: Bacteria
Description: bacterial SSU rRNA
Rfam family: Bacterial small subunit ribosomal RNA
Source: RNAcentral
CCCAAAGUACGGAAUAGCCUCUGGAAACGGAGAGUAAUACCGUAUGUGCCCUUCGGGGAAAGAUUUAUCGCCUUUGGAUUAGCCCGCGUUGGAUUAGGUAGUUGGUGGGGUAAUGGCCUACCAAGCCUACGAUCCAUAGCUGGUUUGAGAGGAUGAUCAGCAACACUGGGACUGAGACACGGCCCAGACUCCUACGGGAGGCAGCAGUGGGGAAUCUUAGACAAUGGGGGAAACCCUGAUCUAGCCAUGCCGCGUGAGUGACGAAGGCCCUAGGGUCGUAAAGCUCUUUCGCCAGGGAUGAUAAUGACAGUACCUGGUAAAGAAACCCCGGCUAACUCCGUGCCAGCAGCCGCGGUAAUACGGAGGGGGUUAGCGUUGUUCGGAAUUACUGGGCGUAAAGCGCGCGUAGGGGAUUAGUCAGUCAGAGGUGAAAUCCCAGGGCUCAACCCUGGAACUGCCUUUGAUACUGCUAGUCUUGAGUUCGAGAGAGGUGAGUGGAAUUCCGAGUGUAGAGGUGAAAUUCGUAGAUAUUCGGAGGAACACCAGUGGCGAAGGGGCUCACUGGCUCGAUACUGACGCUGAGGUGCGAAAGUGUGGGGAGCAAACAGGAUUAGAUACCCUGGUAGUCCACACCGUAAACGAUGAAUGCCAGACGUCGGGGGGCAUGCCCUUCGGUGUCACACCUAACGGAUUAAGCAUUCCGCCUGGGGAGUACGGUCGCAAGAUUAAAA